Molecule: ribosomal RNA, 484 nt
Filed under: uncultured bacterium
Lineage: Bacteria
Description: partial 16S ribosomal RNA
Rfam family: Bacterial small subunit ribosomal RNA
Source: RNAcentral
AUUGAACGCUGGCGGCAGGCCUAACACAUGCAAGUCGAGCGGAUGAAGGGAGCUUGCUCCUGGAUUCAGCGGCGGACGGGUGAGUAAUGCCUAGGAAUCUGCCUGGUAGUGGGGGAUAACGUCCGGAAACGGGCGCUAAUACCGCAUACGUCCUGAGGGAGAAAGUGGGGGAUCUUCGGACCUCACGCUAUCAGAUGAGCCUAGGUCGGAUUAGCUAGUUGGCGGGGUAAAGGCCUACCAAGGCGACGAUCCGUAACUGGUCUGAGAGGAUGAUCAGCCACACUGGAACUGAGACACGGUCCAGACUCCUACGGGAGGCAGCAGUGGGGAAUAUUGGACAAUGGGCGAAAGCCUGAUCCAGCCAUGCCGCGUGUGUGAAGAAGGUCUUCGGAUUGUAAAGCACUUUAAGUUGGGAGGAAGGGCAGUAAGUUAAUACCUUGCUGUUUUGACGUUACCAACAGAAUAAGCACCGGCUAACUUCGUG